GAGGAGUUUAUGAGUGCUUUUAAAGAAGAAAUGGAUAUUUCUGACAGGUUAGAGAGGGUACAGAAGGCGAUAGAAGGGGCUACCGAGGAUUUGGAGUUGAUGGGAAGGCUUUUGGAUGAGUUUGAUUUGUUGCAGAGGAGGGCUCAGGCUGUGGAUUUGGAUGAGGUUGAUGCUAAGGUUAGUAAGUUGAUGCCAGAGCUUGGGUUUUCCCCCGAGGAUUCCGAUAGGUUGGUCGCAAGUUUUAGUAGCGGAUGGCAGAUGAGGAUGUCACUUGGGAAGAUUUUGUUGCAGG
This 292-nucleotide long non-coding RNA is filed under the name Gossypium raimondii (Peruvian cotton). Its description in RNAcentral is "long non-coding RNA (GRAI_LNC005600)". Lineage: Eukaryota; Viridiplantae; Streptophyta; Magnoliopsida; Malvales; Malvaceae. The record is from RNAcentral.